GUAAAAAUUUGGUAUAAUUUUUCUUGAAAAAAAAAAAGGUCCGAAGGACUGCCAAAGGUAUUAAUUGGGAAAUCUUUGUGAUUUUUUCUGGCGGCUAGACAAUCUUGAAGAUAGUAUUUCUGUUAGAUUGUUGUUCCUUUAAAGUGUUUUCCGUCUAUUCACUUCAAAAUGGAAACCCGCACAAUUAAUUUCCAAUGCUGUCAGGGGAUUGUUUUGAAGAAUGUCUAACGGAAUUCCUAGGAAAAAAAAACUGUCUGGAGAUGGUUUCUACUGACUUAAUGACAGUACUUCUGAAAAUAAAAGCUUUCAGCGCCAUUCUAGGGAGAAUUAUAGAAGUAAGAGUACUUUGGGGGAAAUUAUAGGCAAAAUUCUAGUAAAACUUCUACAAGCAUUCUGGUGGAAUAUUUAAAGAAAGUUUUAGCAGAUUUUUGGAAUAUUUUUUCAGCAGAAUUCUUAGUUAAAUCCAUGAAGAAACGUGUGGAAGUUUACUCCUCUAAACUUUUCCCGUUGGAUUAGUCCCUAGACUGAUGACACAAAUUUCCCAAAUGAAGGAGAACGUGACUCUGGAUCCGACCUACUGAUACCUGAGUCCCUAGACUUGUAGAAUUCCUGAAAUUUUCAACAUUUUUUUCUUAGUUCUGCUGACUUAUUUCUGGUAUUUUUUUUACCUGUUGGGUACUUUUUCCACUGCGUCCUGUUUUUUGUAAACCAGUCUUUCUGGUAAAACCUAUGGAAGACUUUCUGAACGAAUUCCUGUUAGGAAGAAACAUUGGAUCUGCAAGAGACAUUUUUGCGGAGCUAUCUAGAUUUUCCCAGCCCUCAUUUUGAAUGGUACAAUCCGAUUUCCGGGAUUGUUUUCUCUCUCUUUGAAAUACUGGGAUGAUCCCUAGUGAAAUGCCCAAAAAUAUAUCUGAAGAAUUUUACAGAAAAGUUCUUUCAAGAUCUCUUCCAUCUUUUCAGCGUUUCUUCUUUCAGAAAGCUGAAUAUUUCAUUAGGAAUUUUGACAUGAAAAUACUUUCAAGAUUUUCUUCCUUUAUAACAAUUAAAUGAUUCUGUUCAAUAUAGAAAAUAUCUAACUAUUCCGGUACAGGGAUGCCAGAUAUUUUUAGUAAAAUCGGUGCGACUUUUUGAAAAAUUUGUAUCCCAUACAAAUGUAAACAACUGCCCAAAAACCUGCAUUAGAUACAAAACGCAACCUAUACGAAUGCUUAAAAAUAUGUAUAUCUGGCAUCUCUGCAAAAACCUAAAAAUAGGGGAACAAUUAGGGAACUUUACCAGUCCAACUGACUGAUCUGCAAACUGCAGCUAUGAAAUCAGCUAUAUUGAAAAAUGCGAAAUCACAUAAAACAUUAUUCACCUAUUCUUGAAAGUGAAGAUGAAUAUUUCUGCUGCUCCUAAAGGUGUUUUUGGUACCUGCAGGAUCUAGUCUAUAUCAUACAACUUAAACGAGCAAAUAACGGUUUACAAUUACAAUUUCUUAGGAAGUCUACAAAAAAGGCUUUACCGGACAUCCACCGGACAUGGUUUGAGGAUUAGGUACUGUAAGGUUUUCCUCAAGGGUUCCAUAGUGGAUUCUUCGUGGAAAACUGAAUAACUUCAAGGAUUGAUCUUUUAAUGCACGUACAGAUCCCUCCAGACAUGCUCAAUGGGUUUAAUCUGUUUCUAUUAAGACAAAACAAAUACAUUUCUCAGAAACUCUGCAAUUUUAUUAAUCCGUAAAUUAAUAACAGAACUCUUCCAAUGGUUACUUCAAGCAUUACUCUAAGGAUUCAACAAAGUAUAAUUUCCACAAAUACAUCACAGAGAGCUUCUCUAGGGAUUCCAACAGAAAUUUCAUGAAAAAUGCAUUCAGCUACACCGCAGAGAACUCCGUCGAGAAAAAGCAUUCAUGUGGGAAUUCAAUCAUAGUUUCUUUCUAAGAAAUCCCGAGAUUAUACGAAUAUUUUUGAAUGAUAUUCUUGGCCGGAAUUUUUCCAGUUUCUCUUGGAAUUCAGAAGAAAAAUAAAAAAAAACUCUCAAGAAGCUAAGGAACUGAUGGGAGAAUUGACUGUAUUCUGUGCAAAUCGGAUUUUUACGACUUCGCAGUCUUAAUGAAUCAAACCGGGUUGUUAUCUAACCGGACGUUUCGAUUGCGUAGCCGUUACAUCCGAUUUCCAUCCAAAGUGUCCGUUUUGAUUCAUUAAGACUGCGUAGCCGUCCUAUCCGAGAAGCCAAGAAAUUGACAGGAAAUCCAGCUAAGAUUGCGUCAAAAUUAGGAUUUCACCUUGAAAUUCUCUUAAAAUUCAUCCAGGAAUGCGAGCGGAUGAUUAGAAGUUGCUCAAACGUUAAGGAAUUCCUUCAUGAUUUUACUUAGGACUUUUGUCAGAGAAACCAGAACAAGUAGCGAACAUUUUUCCGAAAAUGUCACUAACAAAUACUUUAAAAAUUCUAGUGGUUUUUUUAGAUUGUGCAAAAAAAAACUUACUCUAAGAAUUCCACAUCAAAAAUAUACCUAGAGCGUUCAAUAGAAAUGCUGUCUGGGCAUUCCGCACCCACGGAUUUCACACGGCAUUUAUUGUAUGAGUUUGCCAGAAGUUUCCCGUAGAUUCCUUCAAGACUUUUUAUUUGCCACGAAAUUACUCCUAUGAUUCAAAUAAAUCCUAAAAGAUAUUCAUCAUUUUAAUAAUAUGUUCAAAAGUGAACAUCUCUAGGAUUGUUUUCGAGAAAAAAUGCCAGAAGCUGGAAAAUUCAGUGAACUUUAAAGAUUGGAAGUUUAUGGCGAUACUGGAUACAUUUCCUCAUUUUUUGGUUUUUGAUUUUUUACAAAAUAACGAAGCAAUAUUUUCGAAAUCGGUUUUCGUGCACAUGCAGGGAAUGGAUCAAGGUAUCUCUUGAUUUUUUUCUUCUGGUGGAUUUUUUUUCGUUUGUGCAAAAACCAAUUUUAAACAAAAUUUCACAAAAAAAUGGUUUCUGCAAAAAUGGAAAACAUUCUUCACCCCAAAAAUUUCAGAAGAUGCCGUGAUGUGCACGGAAUCCAAUUUUGAAAUUAUUGCUUCGUUUUUUAAUAAAAAAAAAUAAAAAACCAAAAAAAUGAGGAAAUGCUUCCAGUUUCGCCUUAAUUCAAAAUUCCGUGAAAAUUAGGUUACAAUAUGUUUGAACAAUUCUGAUUGUAUUCACAAAGAAAUUGGUAGCAGUCCUGGACGAAUUUUUGACGAAAUUCCUUGGAAAACCCUUGAAGUGUUUUCCGUCAGACGACCUAAAAAAAUGUCAACAGCAAUACUACAGGUAUUUCAAUCAUGCACACUCCUGCUGCUGCAGAUGGCCAUCUUUGGGAUCGUUUUAAAAAACAUUUUAUGAAAUUUUUUAAUAAAAUUUUUAGAAAUGACUCCUCUGGAUUCAUUUUCAGAAUAAUUCCUAAGUGAAACAAAAGUACAUUGGUGGAAGGUGUAUCUUAAACAUAACAGACAUAAUUGUGGGUGAAACUUAUCGAGGUAUUUCUACCAGGGAAAUGUGUCAAAUAUAUUGUGGCAAAUCUCUUCAGUACCUUCCUGGCAGAAGCGAAGAAAUCUCAUUGAAAUCCAUACACUACAUUUCGGGAAUUUUGCUUAGUCCUUAGCCUUUGAAUUGCCCUGGAAGAGUGUCUUGCAGAAUCGUUUUGAGGUACACCCCGUCCUGUUUUACGUCCAUCGUUGGCUAAACGAAAAAAAAAUCUAACACCAAGACAAGAAAACUUGACAUUUUUAUAUUUCAAAUCAUAAAAAUGUCAAAGCUUUCUCAUCAUCUUGUUGAUCAGAUGUUUUUCUCGCUCAGCAAAAGAUGAGCGUAAAACGAGGUUGAGGUGUAGGUUAGAAGGUUUUGAGGUAGUUCUGGAGUAAAUUUUAUAGAAAAAUAUUUUUGAAAGUAAUUUUAUGGAUUUUUUUCCUGAUAGUGCCCUUGGAGAGCCUUUGGGAAGAAUUCCUGAAAAGAAGAAAUGUAGGAUGUCUUAGACAACUUUUAGUCAGUGUUGAAAAUGUCAUUUCGACAUAUCAAAAUUCAACCACAUCCAGCUCAUUUUAGAAGCUCAACCUGAGAAUAUGGCAUAGGAAACACUUGUUCGACUAGACCAGUUCUACAAGAAAGUCACGGGAAAACCGAUCAUUUCGAAUAUUUAAGAUAAAUGUAACGGACUAUUUUCUAAAAAUGCCAAUGAUAUACAAUUGGCAUUUUUCGAAGGUAGUCCGUGACAUUUACAGUAUGCGGCAGGAAAAAAUGCGAAAGUGUUUUUCAACUUCAAACCUCGUUUUCGCCCAUUUGACGUUAACCAAUCUAUGUUUCAACGUUCCAUGAUCUCCAAUAGGCUAGUUUUCUGAAAAGUUAAUUAAAAAAUUUACCAUUUUGGUCACUAACUUUUACAGGGCGACACCUGAAGCUGAAGACAUUGAGAAUUUUCAAACCGUAGAAAAGUACACGUGUCGCUAAAUUUCGUAUCUGAUAAAACAAACCUUUUAAUUUUCUCUACAAUAUAAUCAAAUAUACAGUGAUAGACAUUCGUUUAGCCGAGAACAAAAAAAGUGUCAGGAAACUCAUACAAAAGAUUUUAUGAUAAAACUUUUUUAUCGUAGUAAUAGUAUAUCUAGUACAGUUUUAUAAAAAUGUGAUACAUUAAACUUACAUAUACACUGAAACAAAACCGAGGGUAAAAACCCUUCAAAUUUCAUUUUUUGCCUAGACAUUCGUUUAGCCGAGGUAAAUGAAAAAUUGGUUUUCAAUAGAUUUUUUGCAGAGUAUAUUUCGAGAAUAUACUCCAAGGCAUUUAGUUUAUGACGUGUUAGCAAGAUAUUUGACCGUAAAAGUUUAUUUAUUUGUGAAAUUCAGAGAAAUAUUAUAAAAAAUGUCCCGAUAAGGAGAAGCGACGAUAAACAAAUUUAUUUAAGAAAACUGAUUUCUGUAAACACUCAAACGUAAGCUAGAUUAGCAGUUUUGAAAAUAUGGCACAGAAUUAUUGUCAGAAAUGUUCAAAUUAUUGCAUAAAAUGUCAUGAAAAAAAUAAGUAUAU
Molecule: long non-coding RNA, 5014 nt
Organism: Aedes albopictus (Asian tiger mosquito)
Lineage: Eukaryota; Metazoa; Arthropoda; Insecta; Diptera; Culicidae
Exons: 2
Source: RefSeq, a predicted model, not a curated record